This is a non-coding RNA of Phascolarctos cinereus (koala), 292 nucleotides long. The record is from RefSeq and is a predicted model, not a curated record. NCBI's taxonomy places the organism in Eukaryota, Metazoa, Chordata, Mammalia, Diprotodontia, Phascolarctidae.
GUUGGGAGUGACAGUUCAAAAGUACCUUGAUGUGAAGCCCAUCGAUCUCCCUAUGGAGUCAGGGAUCCAUAAGGGGUUUCCAAUGGAACAGAGAGUUUUAACGGAGUUUCCUGUUUGUGCAAGGUGCCUGGUUGAGUAAGGAAUAUCAAAGUUCUCAAUCUGCAGAACAAAUAAAGCCUGGGCAAAGGUCAUUCAUAAUUGUAGUUACACCUGGGUUGUCACCUGGAGAAAGUUGGAAAAGCGCAAUUCAUCAAGAAGAUAAUUCUAAAAUGCAGAUGUUAGGCAGGGAAAC